Molecule: ribosomal RNA, 483 nt
Filed under: uncultured bacterium
Lineage: Bacteria
Description: partial 16S ribosomal RNA
Rfam family: Bacterial small subunit ribosomal RNA
Source: RNAcentral
AUUGAACGCUGGCGGCAUGCUUUACACAUGCAAGUCGAACGGCAGCACGGGCUUCGGCCUGGUGGCGAGUGGCGAACGGGUGAGUAAUAUAUCGGAACGUACCCAGAAGUGGGGGAUAACGUAGCGAAAGUUACGCUAAUACCGCAUACGAUCUAUGGAUGAAAGCAGGGGACCGCAAGGCCUUGUGCUCCUGGAGCGGCCGAUAUCUGAUUAGCUAGUUGGUGAGGUAAAGGCUCACCAAGGCGACGAUCAGUAGCUGUCUGAGAGGACGACCAGCCACACUGGAACUGAGACACGGUCCAGACUCCUACGGGAGGCAGCAGUGGGGAAUUUUGGACAAUGGGCGCAAGCCUGAUCCAGCAAUGCCGCGUGAGUGAAGAAGGCCUUCGGGUUGUAAAGCUCUUUUGUCAGGGAAGAAACGGUAGAGGCUAAUAUCCUUUGCUAAUGACGGUACCUGAAGAAUAAGCACCGGCUAACUACGUG